GAGAUAGCUGGUUCUCCCCGAAAGCUAUUUAGGUAGCGCCUCGUGAAUUCAUCUCCGGGGGUAGAGCACUGUUUCGGCUAGGGGGCCAUCCCGGCUUACCAACCCGAUGCAAACUGCGAAUACCGGAGAAUGUUAUCACGGGAGACACACGGCGGGUGCUAACGUCCGUCGUGAAGAGGGAAACGAACCCAGACCGCCAGCUAAGGUCCCAAAGUCAUGGUUAAGUGGGAAACGAUGUGGGAAGGCCCAGACAGCCAGGAUGUUGGCUUAGAAGCAGCCAUCAUUUAAAGAAAGCGUAAUAGCUCACUGGUCGAGUCGGCCUGCGCGGAAGAUGUAACGGGGCUAAACCAUGCACCGAAGCUGCGGCAGCGACACUGUGUGUUGUUGGGUAGGGGAGCGUUCUGUAAGCCUGUGAAGGUGUGUCGUGAGGCAUGCUGGAGGUAUCAGAAGUGCGAAUGCUGACAUAAGUAACGAUAAAGCGGGUGAAAAGCCCGCUCGCCGGAAGACCAAGGGUUCCUGUCCAACGUUAAUCGGGGCAGGGUGAGUCGACCCCUAAGGCGAGGCCGAAAGGCGUAGUCGAUGGGAAACGGGUUAAUAUUCCCGUACUUGGUGUUACUGCGAAGGGGGGACGGAGAAGGCUAUGUUGGCCGGGCGACGGUUGUCCCGGUUUAAGCGUGUAGGUGUGUGUUCCAGGUAAAUCCGGUUCACUUUAACACUGAGGCGUGACGACGAGGCACUACGGUGCUGAAGCAACAAAUGCCCUGCUUCCAGGAAAAGCCUCUAAGCAUCAGGUAACAUCAAAUCGUACCCCAAACCGACACAGGUGGUCAGGUAGAGAAUACCAAGGCGCUUGAGAGAACUCGGGUGAAGGAACUAGGCAAAAUGGUGCCGUAACUUCGGGAGAAGGCACGCUGACACGUAGGUGAAGUGAUUUACUCAUGGAGCUGAAGUCAGUCGAAGAUACCAGCUGGCUGCAACUGUUUAUUAAAA
Molecule: ribosomal RNA, 990 nt
Filed under: Salmonella enterica subsp. enterica serovar Moscow str. SA20061414
Lineage: Bacteria; Pseudomonadati; Pseudomonadota; Gammaproteobacteria; Enterobacterales; Enterobacteriaceae
Description: bacterial LSU rRNA
Rfam family: Bacterial large subunit ribosomal RNA
Source: RNAcentral